RNAcentral lists this ribosomal RNA (253 nucleotides) under uncultured bacterium. Its description in RNAcentral is "partial 16S ribosomal RNA". It matches the Rfam family "Bacterial small subunit ribosomal RNA", at positions 524 to 776 of the family's 1533-position model. The record is from RNAcentral.
UACGUAGGGGGCAAGCGUUGUCCGGAUUUAUUGGGCGUAAAGCGCGUGUAGGCGGCCAGGUAGGUCCGUUGUGAAAACUCGAGGCUUAACCUCGAGAUGUCAUCGGAAACCAUUUGGCUAGAGUCCGGAAGAGGAAAGUGGAAUUCCUGGUGUAGCGGUGAAAUGCGCAGAUAUCAGGAAGAACACCAAUGGCGAAAGCAGCUUUCUGGGACGGUACUGACGCUGAGACGCGAAAGCGUGGGGAGCGAACAGG